GAUGAAGAACGUAGUGAAAUGCGAUAAGUAAUGCGAAUUGCAGAAUUCAGUGAGUCAUCGAAUCUUUGAACGCACAUUGCGCCCUGUGGUAUUCCGCAGGGCAUGCCUGUUCGAGCGUCAUUUCAACCCUCAAGCUCUGCUUGGUGCUGGGCCCUGCCCGCUGCGGCCGGCCCUAAAGACAGUGGCGGUGCCGCCUGGCCCUGAGCGUAGUACAUCUCUCGCUCCAGUGCCCGGUGGUAGCCUGCCAGAACCCCAACUCUCGUGGUUGACCUCGGAUCAGGUAGGGAUACCCGCUGAACUUAAGCAUAUCAAUAAGCGGAGGA
RNAcentral lists this unclassified non-coding RNA (323 nucleotides) under soil metagenome. Its description in RNAcentral is "partial contains 5.8S ribosomal RNA, internal transcribed spacer 2, and large subunit ribosomal RNA". The stretch from base 1 to 120 matches the Rfam family "5.8S ribosomal RNA", at positions 35 to 154 of the family's 154-position model. The record is from RNAcentral.